GCCUGGGUGGCUCAGUUGGUUGGGCGUCUGACUCUUGGUUUCAGCUCAGGUCACGUGAGAUCGAGCCCCACAUCAGGCU
This 79-nucleotide transfer RNA is filed under the name Ailuropoda melanoleuca (giant panda). It matches the Rfam family "tRNA". Rfam says of the family: Transfer RNA (tRNA) molecules are approximately 80 nucleotides in length. Lineage: Eukaryota; Metazoa; Chordata; Mammalia; Carnivora; Ursidae. The record is from Rfam by way of RNAcentral.